This 36895-nucleotide long non-coding RNA is filed under the name Triticum aestivum (bread wheat). Its description in RNAcentral is "long non-coding RNA (TAES_LNC007711)". The record is from RNAcentral. Lineage: Eukaryota; Viridiplantae; Streptophyta; Magnoliopsida; Poales; Poaceae.
CAAUGUGUUGUUGCUACUCAAGCUCCGGAUCAAUGUGCCGGAGACCGAGCAAUGUUGCCCACUGCUUAGUGGGUUGGCUGAUCUAGAUGCCGCAGUCUGUGUUUGCACUGCCAUCAAGGCCAACCUCCUUGGCCUCAUCCCCGUCGACAUUCCCGUCGACCUGACCCUCCUACUCAACCAUUGUAACAAGACAUAUCCCUCUACUUUCACCUGCUCACCAUGAGCCAUGAUCAACUAUACCUCUCCAAAGCAUACUCAUAAUUGCCAUGCAUGUGAGGCAUACCCAUCUAUGCCAGCUCAUUAAUAAAUUUAUGUUUAGAUUCUAUAUUUAGAUUUCGAGUUAUGUUUGUGUGUUUGACAUAAGUGUAUCAUGCAUGUUAUGUAAUCAAAAUUAUCAAGAUGGAGCUUGUCUCAUUGAAGAUAUUCCCUACAACAUAUGAGAUCAUUAUAAAUAAUUCAAAACGUCAUCGCAGUUGAUUGUUUGAACCAUCUAUCUAUAUACGACAUAUUUAUGAAUUUUUACAACUGGUUCUAUAGUCUAUGGAAACAUCUAUGACAUUUGGAUCUUACUAUGAACCAUAUGUUGGCAGUUAUUUAUCAUCGAUGGUUUAAGAGAUUUCUUUGUUCGGUUAGAUGUGUUGAUUAUGUUCAUGUGGGGUCCAAACUCUAUAAACUAGAUGAUGUCCUGCAUGUUGCUACGCGAUUUUGUUGUCGCGAAGAUGAUAACAAUUGAAUUCAGUUAUCUGCCAAAUUUUAAUUACAUUCAGUGACUAUUGUAUUUGUUUUAUAACAUGCAUCACCGACACGAUGAUUUAAACAAUUCAAAAGAAAAACAAAUUGGAAAGCCCAAGAGCUGGAAUAGUUCCUGGCUUCCUGCAUGAAUCGUCCUUCAUGGUCUGCUUUUGAACAUAGUCAAAAUGGCCAUAUAAAAUGAAUAAUAGUCAAGAUCCAAAUCACUCAAUAUAGUAACACUUUGUAAAAGGAAUAAUUCAGAAUAGUGACCAAUUCCAUUGUUGUAGUUUAUAAGGUGUGCAAACUACAAAAAGAUCUCGAGAAUCUUAGUGGUCUUAAUCACAUCAUAUGCGUCAUUGUUUUUUAUUUCCUUUUGAUUAGUACAAAAAUCCACCACUGUUAUCACUGGCCAACCGUACAACGACAUCCCUUGUAAAUCACCCAGAAAGGGUUUCCCCCCGCUUUGUAUUUCAAAGCAACCACCACGAUACAGCCAAAGAUAGGUGCUGGGGCGGAAGCAGCACAGUCACGCCAAAAAGAAACGGAGGAGAAAACAUAAAAGAAACAAAUGCCAAGAACGGCGGAUCAACGAAAAACGAAGAAGCCCCGCGACCGCUGCGCCCACCGGAGAACUCCCGCCAAGCUCCACGACUCCGGAAUGCCGGCACCAAGCAACACCUCCAAGAAGGGAUGCAACGACGACGAUGCUCCUGCGAAGGGUUUCCCCCGGUACGCGGCGAGGUGAUAGGAAGGGUCGCCCCGACGCCUUCCAGGAAGGACUGACGACACCCACAGGCGCCACCACACCGGUGUCGGCCAAACCGACAGGGAUUUCUUCCGAUCCCAACCCACCCCUUAGGGGCUUCGGAGCUCGCCACCAAACCGACCACCACCCUGCGCCAACACGGACUUGAUGCUUCCACGCCGUCUCACCACGACACCACGAAGUAGGGUCUGCACAAUGAUGAGGAGGAGGCGGGACUAGGGUAGCAGCACCGUCGGUACGCGGGAGGGCUCAACAUCCACCGUCAACGAUGGUAACCAAUCGGACGCAAUAGCAGGGGCAAAUCAGACCCGUGAGCAGACAGGUCCGGCCGGGCGCUCAUAUGCCCGUAAAGCCCCCGCCUUCGCGCUGCAGAAUACGUGCCAACGGCGCCGCCGCCCAUCGUCCGAGCCGCUCCACCUCAUCACCGCGUAGAGAGCAGUGAGGCAACGCCAAGACCGGCCCGCUAGGACCUUGAUGGGGCCCAUAGGGCCUAGAUCUGGGCCAGGUUCAUGCCGCCGGCCGACCUGCGCCAUCCCGCCGCCCCGCCGCCAAAGGGCGUCGCCACCACCGCGACAGGUCGCCGCCAGCCGCCACCAGGCCGAUGGGCCGCCGUAGGCCAAGGAACACCGCCACCGGAAACGCCGCACGAAUCGAGAAUCUGCGUCGGGGAUGAGCAGGGGGCCGCCACCGCCAGCCAGACCACGGCGCCGCGGGCAGCGCCCGACCGCGCCGGCCGGUGGCAGCGGCAGGAGGAGGAGGUACNNNNNNNNNNNNNNNNNNNNNNNNNNNNNNNNNNNNNNNNNNNNNNNNNNNNNNNNNNNNNNNNNNNNNNNNNNNNNNNNNNNNNNNNNNNNNNNNNNNNNNNNNNNNNNNNNNNNNNNNNNNNNNNNNNNNNNNNNNNNNNNNNNNNNNNNNNNNNNNNNNNNNNNNNNNNNNNGGCGCUGGGGCGCCCGCGCCGGCGGCCGGCGGCUGUAGGAGGCCGACGGCGGCGGGGGGAAACCCUAGCGGGAGGAUGAGAGGAGCUCUAGGAGUCGCGGGACCGGAAUCCCCAACCCUUCUCCCCCAUCCCCUGUGAAUCCACAUAUCGAUCCUGGCUUACGCGUAUAGUCGAAUCAACCAAACUGCAAAUCAAAAUGGACAAACGAAUCAAAUGUUACCAACACAUGUACCUCGCUGGGGAGAAGGCAGUUUGCCCCAAUAAUCGGUAACAUAGUGGAAAUAAUCGAUUGAAAAGAUGAGCUCACUUGUGUGCCCUUGCUUGGCGGAAGGCGUUGGGAUAGAGGCGCCUGCGGAGGGUGGUGAGAAGAAGAUGCAGACUACUCCACACGUGCAUGCCUCUACCACCACGUAUAACAUGGAAUCCCGACACCCACCAACACUGUUAUUGCUGCCUCCUCGCAGCCCCUUCUUCCUCCUUGCACUGCCUCACACAGCUCACACAACUCUCUUUUCUCUCUGCCAUGGUUUCUCACAAGAAGUCAAGAACACAAGAAAACACACGCACGCACAGACACACAUGGGUCAAGGAAAAACACAAUAGCUUUGUCGAGAGACACCUUCCUUGGUGAGCCAUGACUACAUUGUGUUUCCAGCCCUCACGGCGGCCUUAAAUUUUUUCUCGUUCAUCUAUUUUCUUUAUAACCUUUUUCUCAUUCAUCUGUUGAACUUACUAGCAAAAGGGACCGUGCGUUGCAAUGGGGCAUUAAUAUUUAUAGCACAAGACCAAUUGUGUUAAAUGCCACGCAUGUGCUUCACUAUGGAGCAAAUGGCAAUUGCCAUGAAUUACAAUUGAUCGGAAAAUUCAAUUUAGUUAAAACUUGACAAUUAAAAUGAGUGCGUUAUGAUGGAAAAAGAGGUGAGGAAGACCUCCAAGUGAAAAGGCGAGGAAUGUAUUCAUAGUCAUAGAGCAUAUCUGAUUCGUUUUUUGUAGUAUGGGUUCCUUAUUCAUAGUCAUAGGCUUGAAACGAUCUCUUCGUUAGUCACCAAUGAAUCAGCAACUUAAUUAAUUAUAUAUGAGCUAAAUAUCAGAUUAGUUUAAUAUGAAGUAAUACGUUGUGAAGAAAGGAAGCAUGUCCAAAAAUUUAACAACGGGGCAAUUUUCUUGCAUUUCAGUUUGUAUGUGACAAGAAACAAAUGAGAUUUAUGAAAAAGUGGGAAUAAGCUACGCCAAGACUACUUAGCUAAAAGAUUUAUUUUGGAGUUGUUCAACUGGUCAAUCUAUCGUGUUCCUCUCAUCUUAUUGGAGCACUUGCCUUUAUUGUGUUCCUGAAUUAGCACAAGAUCAACAGAUGCAGCAUGCAUUUGCCAAUAUGCAUUCAUACCAUAGUGUACUGCCACCUAAGUAAAGUUAGCUGGUAGAUCCUGCUGAUCGGGUUGAACAACCAAAAAGAAAUUGAGAUGAGAGUCCCGUGAUCACAUGACCCGACAGAAAAAAAUAGGCCUUCAAGAUGCACCUGAAUCGUUCGUGCAGCCAAGCUGCUGAGCCAAGACCCGUCUCCAGUCGCAAGCCGGCAUUGUCCAGGAGCCGCGGUCAUAUCCAGUCGCGAGCAGGGAAUGUCUACGCGCCAUGAAUGAUCCAAUGGUGUUGGUAUUUUGUCCUACGACAGUGGAAUUCAGCGAGGUGCUUAUACCGAAAUACCAAUAUUACUGACCACUGGAAUCAAAGUAUUGUUUCUUACUUUGAAUUUAAAUCUGUCUAAGCUUUUGCACAUGAAUCAUAUAACUUAUACUACUUCACAUCAUGAAUUUCCCACUAAAUCAAAGAAGCCAAUGGUUAGUAUGACUACCCAGAAAAUUAAUUUCCGUUAAAGAACUUAUUAAACUAUAGAAGUGAACGGUUCUGUGUCUGGGAUCCGAUGGGGCAGCCUCUUCCAGUUCCAUGUCUUUUUUGUUUCGUCCUCCUGUACAUAUUCCCUGCAGCUUAUUGUGGGUGCUCAUCAUGCCAAUAAUUUGUACUUAGAGAUGAGAUGCAUGCUGUCAGACUCAAAACUUUUUGAUGGAAGUGAUAAAUACUCUAAUUUUGACAAAAUAUGAUGCCAUUCGCGUCUGCUGCCUUUAAAUACCAAUCUGAAUUUAACCAUAUCUGCUAUUUGAUCUGCAACAUACAGGCGUAUGGCCGCUCAACACUAAUUCCCCUAGACUCUCAGCCGCAGCCGCCACACUCGUCUCUAGGUCUCCUCAUCCUUUGACCCCCACCGUCGCCAUCUCUGCCUCUGCCAUGCUGCCUUCAUCAUUGCGGUGGAGCACGCGACGACUAAAGUGCCGGAAGCCUUCCUAGCGGUGGUUGGCUGUCAGAGUGUUAAGCCUGUGUUCCCAUUGCUAUCCUAUGGGUUUGAGCAUGACCAAGGCUAAUAGGCUACUGAGUUCCAUCACAAUUGGUAGCGCAUCAUGCUUAUGUACAUUAAGAAACCAUACAAAAUACAGAAAACAAAUACAACCUGAAAGGUUUAAAAAGGCCAAAGAAGCAUUAAGGAGACUAAUUAAUUAGGAAACUUGCAGACAUAUGACAGAUCAGAUGAGGCUAACUCAAUUUUCCAAAUUUCUUGCAACAGUGAUUUAUGUUUGAAGACGUUACACAGGUGGUGGUGAUCGAUACUACGCAGGGGAUUCAUGUAGAAACACCUAAACCAAUGAUUGAAAAUUGGUACCUCGGUUGGAGUUGAGUGGACGGCGUUCGGCGAAGUAGUCGAGAUUGGAACCUCGACUAGAACUCGAGCGGAUGGUGGUCCAGCGAAUUAGGCGAGAUUGGAAGCUCCGGACGCUAGUAUGGCACUUUCAAGCACCGUAACUUGUGAUUGCUCGGGGUUUGGGGGGUCGAGACCUUUUUAUGGCAGCGAGGGGAUCGGAUGAAAUCCGAGUCAGGUACCACCCCAUGGCUGCGUGCUCAGGUGGUUUCGUUAUCCUGCACGGACAGGACACAAGGACUAUGAUCCAAGUCGGAUGGAGAUGGAGGAGGCCGAGAGGCGGACUACGACGGAGCGGUGAGCGGCUGCCGGAUCGGCACGCUCUGGUUCGAGGCGCAGGGCCGGCGGUCGCCAUUGAGAGGACAUCGCCCUCCACCCAGUGCGUCACGGUGGGCUCUUCCUACCACUCAUCUCGCUCACCGCCGUCCUCGCCGCGGAGGUCCUCCUCGCCAACUCCCCUCGCUGCAGUCGUGCUCCUCGAUGCCAGAGCCAUCAGCUGCGCCGACCCGUCAAGUGAGGUAGAGAAGAGAAUGUGGAUUAGGAUAGGGUUGGCUGGAGGUGGAGCAGGCUGGGAGAUGAAAGGCGGCGGAGCGGUGAUCCAGGCACUUGGGCAACGAAGCGAUGAGGCGGAUCGGGAGGCGCUGAGGAGGAAGAAGAUGAGCGAGCGGAUCGUGGUCGGUCCGGCUUCUAAGUUGUUUUUUUAUUGACAAAACUCGUACCUGUACGAAAUAAAAGGAAACAAUCUUUCCCUUUUUUGGAAACAAAGCAUCGUUAUGUGAACCGGUUGGUGCCAGUUGCCUUCUUCUAUGCGAGUAGGGUUGGACUCCCCGGUAUCACAAUUUAUUUAUUUUAACCCAAAUGCGAUUUUCUUUUUUAGGUGCAACAGAAAACGGGAAGACGUACAAAAACAUAGACGUGGACCAAAAAACGUACGAAAAAUAAAGAUGUGAACAAAAAAGUUGGAGAAACAAUCCUGUCUUUAAUAUUAAAGAAAGAUAUAGCUAAUACAAAGGGACUUGCACGCAUAGCCUAGCCGGCUACUAACACCAUGUACACAGGUCAUUCAUGCCACUAACCAACUAACCCACGCACUACCACGUGACAUAUAUAGCAAUCAAUCCAAACAAUUAAAAAAACUAACCCACACACUAACAGAACCAAUGCAUCUCCUCCUAAAAUCUCUUUAGGAGUCAUGACUCCCCGGUAACACAAUUUAUUUAUUUUAACCCAAAUGCGAUUUUCUUUUUUAGGUGCAACAGAAAACAGGAAGACGUACAAAAAUAUAGACGUGGACCAAAAAACGUACGAAAAAUAAAGAUGCGAACUAAAAAGUUGGAGAAACAAUCCUGUCUUUAAUAUUAGAGAAAGAUAUAGCUAGUACAAAGGGACUUACACGCAUAGCCUAGCCGGCUACUAACACCAUGUACACAGGUCAUUCAUGCCACUAACCAACUAACCCACGCACUACCACGUGACACAUAUAGCAAUCAAUCCAAACAAUUAAAAAAAACUAACCCACGCACUAACAGAACCAAUGCAUCUCCUCCUAAAAUCUCUUUAGGAGUCAUGACUCCCCGGUAACACAAUUUAUUUAUUUUAACCCAAAUGCGAUUUUCUUUUUUAGGUGCAACAGAAAACAGGAAGACGUACAAAAAUAUAGACGUGGACCAAAAAACGUACGAAAAAUAAAGAUGUGAACAAAAAAGUUGGAGAAACAAUCCUUUCUUUAAUAUUAAAGAAAGAUAUAGCUAGUACAAAGGAACUUGCACGCAUAGCCUAGCCGGCUACUAACACCACGUACACAGGUCAUUCACGCCACUAACCAACUAACCCACGCACUACCACGUGACACAUAUAGCAAUCAAUCCAAACAAUUAAAAAAACUAACCCACGCACUAACAGAACCAAUGCAUCUACUCCUAAAAUCUCUUUAGGAGUCAUGACUUGCCUCCAAUGUACGUUGCAAGUAGCCCCCAGUUCAAGAAUUCAUCCGAUUAACCAGUUAACUUGUUGAUUAAUGCCUACUCAUAGGAUCAUUGAGUAGCUGAUAAACUGAUAAAUCGCCCGAUUAAUUGAUCAAAUGGCCGGUUAAUUUACCGAUCAGCCCAUUAAUCUCCUACUCGCUAGCCAGCUGAGCAGCUACCGGUUAACGAUUUUCUCAACAAUGCAAGUAGCUAACAAACUCUCAUGCAGCUAACUAUGCCUGGUACUUGCACGGCCAAGUCCAGCAGCCUCCUCAACGGCCACAAGACUCAACCCAACCAGUAUCCAUGAUAUUGUAUAGCCCAUCAUGCUCCAGUAUCUAGCAUGUCCUGCGCUUCUCGCGACCUUGCCGUAUCUCACAACAUCAUCGGCAUCUCACCGUGCUCGCCGCAUCGCACAACAGCCUGACAUAUCACCUCCUUCGCGCACACAACCAAAGAUUUAUUGGCCUAUACCACUCUACUAUUGUUUAAACUACAUGCACGUAGCAAAACUAAAUAUGCGGAUACAGGAAUCAAGAUUAAAUCUAACAUUUCCCCUCAUAGUCUUGAUUCUCCAAUCUCCACGUAGCUUCACUUUGCCUUGAACGACACCAUCGCAGGGACGAUCACCGUACACAUUCUUGUCGUGGACGACGUCAUCGCGGCGCCGGUCACCAUACCGCCUUGCCGCAUGCAGCGGCCACCUCUUGAUGUGGACGACGCCAUCAUAGCGCCGAUCACAACAUCAUCUUUCUAUGGACCACGCCAUCACAACGCUGGUCACCACGCACCUUGCCGCAACAUCACACUGCAACAGUUGUUGGCUUCGCACGAGCUAUGCAUGAUGACGAUGGCAUUGCACCACCGCCGUCGGCAUCGCACCGCAUCUCCUUGAAAUGGCAUCACAUCAUCGUCAUAGCAGCAUCACACCAUCGUCUCCUCCUAGUAGCAUCACAUCGCAACCGGCCACCGGCGACAUCGCGUCGCCGACGUCCUAGACCUCACAUGGAAUCCGCCGUUCGCCGUCCUCGACACGAAUCGACAUGGAUCUAAUGCCAAUUGUUGGCACUGCCUCCUCUUGAGUGGUGAGAGGAAGAAUAAGGGUGCUGCGAGAGGAGGCAGUGCCGCCAAACACGACAGCGACCGAUGCGUUGGAUCCGGGAGCCUUGACGUCAUGCAGGAUGGGAUGACGUAUCCAGGUCGGACGGCGGCGAGUGGCGCCGUGGCGUCAGACGCUUCAUAUUUGACCAUGAUGCGGUGCACUAUGUUGCUCAGCGGCGAUGUGGAAGGCUUUAGGAUCGAGGUGUCAGUGAAGGGUGGUGAGCACAUGACAAGAAGGCAGACGACCCCAUAUGUGCUAGCCUCUGCUGCGAGAUAUAACGCAAACUCCUCGGCGUGCAUCAAUUCAACAUAGUAGCGAGCGAUGUGCUGGAGUCGAAAGCCUCGACGUCGGCCUGGAUGGGACGGAGUCAAUGGGUUGGACGCUAGUGAGCAGCGUGGUGGGGUCCGACACUGACAGACUAUGUCGGCGUCCCGGAACUAAGGCUGAUUGUAUUGGGGUGUAUCAUAUACUAGUAUCAUGCAUAUGAUACUAGUGUAUGAUACUACAUCCGCAAUGCAUAAUAUCAUAUGUUGUAUCAUAGAGGGCUAUAUUUAUUACCAUGCAUGACACAAAGUAGCACAUCAUUUAAUAUGAUACGGUAUCAUGAUAUGAUACUCAAGCAUCUCUUUCUUUAUUUAAUUCUUUGUCACCUCAUCAAAAGUGCUUAGUUGACAUGCAUGAUACUACCUAUAAUACUGCCAUUACGGUCAGCCUAAUAACGGCAAAGAUCGUCAGGUGGGAGAUCGAUGGGAUAUCCAUGUGGUCUUGUCGACCGUCACUACUACUGAUUGGUGUGGUGGAUUCGGCGGUUGAAGAUCUUAUAUCGAGGAAGGUGCAAAAUAGAAGAUGAAUAUGAGUAGGAAAUUCAAACGGCAAGGGAAUAACUAAUGUUCAUUAACUAUGUGAACUUGGGAAGAUGGAGAUAAAACGAUGCAUCUCCGCGGCUCUUCAGAACUCCUUGUUUUUUUUCUUGAGGGGUAAACCAAGCUUUUAUUCAUCAAAGACUAUAUGAUGUGGGAUAAAAUUCGGGUCAUGGGGUUGGCUAAACCAAACGUGACGCCCCAGACCUAAUGAAAGUGAAUGCUUGGCUAGACUAUGUGCUUCUAAGUUGGUAGCACGACCUUUGAAAACAAAAUUGCAACAAGAUGAAUCUAACUGAAGUCUAAUUUCAUUGAUGAUAGCACCGCAGGUGCCCAAGCUGCCCUUAUUGAUAGCACCAAUCACUUGUUGUGCAUCCAAAGCAAUUACAAACUGAUUGAGGUGUAGAUCUGCUGCUAGUGCCAACCCUUCACGAUAGGCUAUAGUUUCGCGCUGCCGGGUCAUCUAGUCCGCCAAUGACCAUAGUAGAACUCCCCAGAAAAGCAAGUGUGUUGUCCCUGCAGACUGCAGCUGCAGUACCUCUGCUGCCUCGUCGGCAUCCAGCGUCUACAUUGAUUUUCACGUACCCCUGGGGAGGAGCUUUUGGUCUCUGGCUCGCUGCUGCCACUAUUGGUUCUGCUUGGGGCACCUGCUGGUUCCCCCUGAUAGCAUCUAAUUCAUUGAUGAAUUUGUUAACAAAAGUGUAGAUCAUAUGCAGACUUUGGAAAAUCCCUUCGUGAAUUGCUUUACGUCUUGCGGCCCAUAAUGCCCAGAGUGUAACCGAAAGCUUCACAAAAUCUUUAUGUGAUAAUGAGUCCAUCAAUGUGAAUACCACUAUUUUGCAUUCGGUUCAGUUGUUGUAGCCAUUAUUUGAGCCAACUCCUCAUCAACCAACGAUCACGUACAACGAGACAUGGUGCACUCUAAUACGUUCAUUUUGCGUCAUGUUUUUCUACUGUUAUUUAUUAUGUUUUGAGCCAUUAUUUUACUUUAUGAUAUAAUUCUUAUGCGGUUUCUCUCUUAUUUUGCAAAUUUCACAUGAAGAGGGAGAUUGCCGGCAGCUAAAAUUCAGGACCGGAAAGGGCUACAUUAGAAAUACCUAUUCUGCACAACUCCAAAUGACCUCAAAAUUGGCAGGGAAUUAUUUUAGAGUAUAUAAAAUUUAUUGCUGAAAGAAACAUCAAACUAUGACAACCUUGUACCCUAGGCGUCUAGGGUUUUUAUACUCCGUCGUCUCCCUGGCGGCAUUGAGUUAGUUAGUCUUGUUUCUGUCCCUGAUCUCAUAAUAGUCCCCCACCCCGCGACUGCACUCGUCGUCCAGAUGGCCGCAUCAUCGUCCUCAAGGAGUCCGGACGGUGCAGCGGGAGGAAAAGGCAAGGGUGGUGUUGGAAUCGAUCUAGAAGAUGCGAUGAAGCCGAAGACGAAGAGCUUGAUGACAUUUUUGUGGCUGAAGAGGAAAUCUCGGGUCUCUCCAAAUCUGCUAGAUGGUUAGCGGUUGAUGAGGUGAACACGAACAAGUUCUUUGGUGCAGAUGCAUUCAAGGAUACUAUGAAAUAUGCAUGGAACUUGGCACAUGAACCAGAGAUCACGGAAGUUGAUGACAAUCUCUUUGUGAUUCAGUGCUUUUGCCUAGGCGAAUAGAACAAGGUCAUGCACCAGGGUCUGUGAAUCUUCCGCGGUUUGGUUGUACUUAUUGAUGAAUAUGGCGGCAAAAGAAAAACCAUGAUUAUUCAAGAUGGAGCAAGUCAAUGUCUGGGCACAGAUUGAUGAUACUCCGAACCUCUAGGUUGGAAGGCAUUGCUGAUCAGAUGGCUCGUAGGAUUGGCCAGGUAAACAACAUGGAGAUGAACCCAUCCAGGGUUUAGGUUUAGACCCUUGAACCUUAAUGGGAAGGAGCAAUUUUUAUGCUAGUUAAGUACGAGAAGAUCGGCUUAUUUUGUGGAGUUUGCGGCAUCCUUGGUCAUAACCUAAGACGAGGUUCAUGGGCUAGAUGAUAGAGAAUAUGAGGACUAUAUGAUGUGGGUAACUGGUAAGAAGGUCAUUUUCUAGUGAUCGGAGUGCUAGUCGAGGUGGUUUUUCUGCUCUGGCCAGGGGCAUGCCGUUCAAGGGUGCGUGAGGUCGGCACCGUGGUGGUCGCUCGACUGGCACAUGAAACAUGCCCCGCAAGUGACUUUCAAGGAAGGCAAGCUUGGAUGAAGAUGGAGAGGAUGAGUUGGACGACUCGAUGACUAGCCCAUUAAAGAAUACGUCAGCUCCGGUAGGUGAAGAGAAGGACAAGGAAAGUGUUGCAACGAAGUUAGACCCUCGUACAUAAAAUGUGCAUGCUAAUGUUAAGGAUCAUGAUGUCACCGGAGAGAAGAACAUGCAAGAAGCUAUGCCAAGGAAGGGCAUGGUGACGGGCUGCAUGUCCCUCUUCUCCCAUCUCAAUAUGUGAAGUGAAGGGAUAAGAAGAAACCAAAACAGGGAACUUCACCCUAAAAAAGAUGAACUCUGAUGAAAAAUUGGCAGGCUUCGGCGUUUAGGUUGGGCUUUGAUAAUUGUUAUGCCGUAGGGAGUGAUGGCCGCAAUGGCGGUUUGGCUAUGUACAAGAAUAAUUAUAUUACAAUGAAAUUGAUUCACUAUUCCUAGUAUCAUAUUGAUAUGGAAAUUAGAAUAUAUGGAGAAGAACAAUGGCAGCUUACAAAUAUCUAUGGAGGAGCUAAUACAAGGGAGAGAGAAAACUUGGAAACUUCUCGAGUUCCUGAGAUUGAGUCAGAUCUUCCCUACUAUGUAUUGGUGAUUUCAAUGAAGUACUACAUCAGUGUGAGGUUGGGGUCGGCAAGAGGGACACCAAGUAAAUGAAUGACUUUCGAGAAGUAGUGGAUGUAAUUGGGACCCUAAUUCAUAGACCACCACCACCAUCCGUUUGUUUUCUUAAAAAAACACCACUAUUGUGCUAACAAUUUCAGAAAAUACUGGUCACUGGAUUAUCACUGAAUUAGAGACGAUGUUUGACAAAAAAACUGACAUCUGAGUCCCAUGGUCAGGUGCCAUGUGGCCAGUAUGAGAUAAUGUCGCUAAAAAAAUUUCACUGAAUGGAAUCAUAAGGAAGAGAUCAUGUGGAAGCAGAGAUCAAGGGUUCAGGGGAUAACAACACAAAAAUAAUCAGCGGGCAAGCACAUGGAGGAAGAAGAACAAGAUAGGACAACUCGCUAUGUCUGAUGAGUUGUGACGGAUGUUCACGUGCUGCAUAACCUCAUAGUCCAUUUCUGUAAAACUCUAUACACUUUUGAAGGGGCAACAGGGACGGACGUGGUCCUUGAUAGUGUAACGGUAAAGAUGACACAAGUGGUGAACUUCAGGCUCGAUAAGGAGUAUGAGCCCGUAGAGGUGAAGGUUGUUCCUUUUCAUAUGCUCCCCACAAAGGUGUCGGACCCUAGAGGAAGUCUAUCACAUUUUUCAGUGUCACUAGGAUGUUUGUGGGGAUGAGGCAACAAAAGCAGUACUAAGCAUCCUUAAUGGGAUGGGGUGUUGGAAAACGUAGUAGAAAACAAAAAAAUCGCCCUACGAUCACCUAGGAACAAUAUGAAGAUGCAUAUAGGGUUUGGAUCAAUGAUAAUUACCAACUCUGGAGUGCAACAGAAGUAGACGAGUUGGUGUAGAUCGUACUUGGAGUCCCUCGAACCAUUGAUGAUGACACUUCAAACCGUAGACAUAGUGGCAACACAAGUAGAAAUAGUAACGGAAUAUUUUUUGGGGGGGGUAUUGUUUGGAAAUUAUGGCAAACAAAGAAGGCAAAAAUUCAAAAGGCAACUAGACAAGAAAAUAGAAACAAGCAAAAUAGAAGUGUUUCUGCGAAGGCACCUGAUUUGGUACAUGAUGACUCCCCUGUUGGGGAACGUAGCAUAAAUUCAAAAUUUUCCUACGUGUCACCAAGAUCUAUCUAUGGAGAAACCAGCAACGAGGGGAAGGAGAGUGCAUCUACAUACCCUUGUAGAUCGCUAAGCGGAAGCGUUCAAGAGAACGGGGUUGAAGGAGUCGUACUCAUCGUGAUCCAAAUCACUGGAGAUCCUAGUGCCGAACGGACGGCACCUCCGCGUUCAACACACGUACAGCCCGGUGACGUCUCCCAUGCCUUGAUCCAGCAAGGAGAGAGGGAGAGGUUGAGGAAGACUCCAUCCAGCAGCAGCACAACGGCGUGGUGGUGAUGGAGGAGCGUGGCAAUCCUGCAGGGCUUCGCCAAGCACCGCGGGAGAGGAGGAGUAAGAGAGGUAGGGCGCGCCAAUAGAGGGAGAAACUCAUAUCUUGGGCAGCCCCCAAGCCUCAAGUAUUUAUAGGGGGAGGGGAGGGGCUGCGCCCCCUCUAGGGUUCCCUCCCCAAGGGUGGCGGCAGCCCCCAGAUGCCAUCUGGGUGGUGGCCAGAGGGGGAGAGAGGGGAGGCGCGCCUGGGGUGGGCCUUAGGGCCCAUCUGCCCUAGGGUUUGCCCCCUCCCACUCUCCCUUGCGCCUUGGGCCCCUUGUGGGGGGCGCACCAGCCCACCUGGGGCUGGUUCCCUCCCACACUUGGCCCAUGCAGCCCUCCGGGGUUGGUGGCCCCACUUGGUGGACCCCCGGGACCCUCCCGGUGGUCCCGGUACUUUAACGGAAAAACCCGAAACUUUUCCGGUGACCAAAACAGGACUUCCCAUAUAUAAAUCUUUACCUCCGGACCAUUCCAGAACUCCUCGUGACGUCCGAGAUCUCAUCCGGGACUCCGAACAACAUUCGGUAACCACAUACAAACUUCCUUUAUAACCCUAGCGUCAUCGAACCUUAAGUGUGUAGACCCUACGGGUUCGGGAACCAUGCAGACAUGACCGAGACGUUAUCCGGUCAAUAACCAACAGCGGGAUCUGGAUACCCAUGUUGGCUCCCACAUGUUCCACGAUGAUCUCACCGGAUGAACCACGAUGUCAAGGACUCAAUCGAUCCCAUAUACAAUUCCCUUUGUCUAGCGGUAUUGUACUUGCCCGAGAUUCGAUCGUCAGUAUACCGAUGCCUUGUUCAAUCUCGUUACCGGCAAGUCUCUUUACUCGUUCUGUAACACAUCAUCCCGUGAUCAACCCCUUGAUCACAUUGUGCACAUUAUGAUGAUGUCCUACCGAGUGGGCCCAGAGAUACCUCUCCGUUUACACGGAGUGACAAAUCCCAGUCUCGAUUCGUACCAACCCAACAGACACUUUCGGAGAUACCUGUAGUGCACCUUUAUAGCCACCCAGUUACGUUGUGACGUUUGGUACACCCAAAGCAUUCCUACAGUAUCCGGGAGUUGCACAAUCUCAUGGUCUAAGGAAAUGAUACUUGACAUUAAAAAAGCUUUAGCAUACGAACUACGAUCUUUGUGCUAGGCUUAGGAUUGGGUCUUGUCCAUCACAUCAUUCUGCUAAUGAUGUGAUCCCAUUAUCAACGACAUCCAAUGUCCAUGGUUAGGAAACCUUAACCAUCUAUUGAUCAACGAGCUAGUCAACAGAGGCUUACUAGGGACAUGGUGUUGUCUAUUUAUCCACACAUGUAUCUGAGUUUCCUUUCAAUACAAUUAUAGCAUGGAUAAUAAACGAUUAUCAUGAACAAGGAAAUAUGAUAAUAACUAAUUUAUUAUUGCCUCUAGGGCAUAUUUCCAACAGUCUCCCACUUGCACUAGAGUCAAUAAUCUAGUUCACAUCGCCAUGUGAUCAACAUUGAUAGGUCACAUCGCCAUGUGACCAACAUCCAAAGAGUCUACUAGUGUCUUAAACUAGUUCACAUCACCAUGUGAUUAAGUCUCAAUGAGUUCUAGGGUUUGAUCAUGUUUUUGCUUGUAAGAGAAGUUUUAGUCAACGGGUCUGCAACAUUCAGAUCCGUAUGUACUUCGCAAAUUUCUAAGUCAUGUUGUAAAUGCUGCUUCUACGCUCCACUAUACGUAUCCGGUUUGCUACUCAGAGUCACUCGGAUAGGUGUUAAAGCUUGCAUUGACGUAACCCUUUACGCCGAACUCUUUAUCACCUCCAUAAUCGUGAAACAUGUCCUUAUUUACUCCAAGGACAAUUGUGACCGCUGUCCAAUGAUCCAUUCCUGGAUCAUUCUUGUACCCCUUGACUGACUCAUGGCAAGGCACACUUCCGGUGCGGUACACAGCAUAGCAUACUAUAGAGCCUACGUCUGAAGCAUAGGGGACGACCUUCGUCCUUUCUCUCUUUUCUGCCGUGGUCGAGCUUUAAGUCUUAACUUCAUACCUUACAUCUCAGGCAAGAACUCCUUCUUUGACUGAUCCAUCUUGAACACCUUCAAGAUCAUGUCAAGGUAUAUGCUCAUUUGAAAGUACCAUUAAGUGGUUUUGAUCUAUCCUCAUACAUCUUGAUGCUCAAUGUUCAAGUAGCUUAAUCCAGGUUUUCUAUUGAAAAACACUUUUCAAAUAACCCUAUAUGCUUUACAGAAAAUUCUACAUCAUUUCUGAUCAUCAACAUGUCAACAAUAUAUACUCAUCAGAAAUUCUAUAGUGCUCCCACUCACUUCUUUGGAAAUACAAGUUUCUCAUAAACUUUGUAUAAACCCAAAAUCUUUGAUCAUCUUAUCAAAGUACAUAUUCCAACUCCGAGAUGCUUACUCCAGUCCUUAGAAGGAUCGCUGGAGCUAGCAUACCUUUUAGCAUCCUUAGGAUCGACAAAACCUUUCUGAUUGUAUCACAUACAACCUUUCCUUACGAAAACUAGUAAGGAAACUCGUUUUGUCAUCCAUCUGCCAGAUUUCAUAAAUGCAGCUUGUGCUAACAUGAUUCCGACGGACUUAAGCAUCGCUACGGAUGAGAAAAUCUCAUCGUAGUCAACUCCUUGAACUUGUGAAAAACUCUUCGCCACAAGUCGAGCUUCAUAGACGGUGAAAUUACCGUCCACGUCCGUCUUCUUCUUAAAGAUCCAUUUAUCUCAAUGGCUUGCCGAUCAUUGGGCAACUCCACCAAAGUCCAUGCUUUGUUAUGAUACAUGGAUCCUAUCUCGGAUUUCAUGGCUUCUAACCAUUUGUCGGAAUUUGGGCCCACCAUCGCUUCUCCAUAGCUCGUAGGUUCAUUGUUGUCUAGCAACAUGACCUUCAAGACAAGAUUACUGUGCCACUCUGAAGUGGUACGCAUCCUUGUCACCCUACGAGGUACGGUAGUGACUUGAUCCAAAACUUCAUGAUCACUAUCAUAAGCUUCUACUUCAAUUGGUGUAGGUGCCACAGGAACAACUUCCUAUGCCCUGCUACACACUAGUUGAAGUGACGGUUCAAUAACCUCAUCAAGUCUCCACCAUCCUCCCACUCAAUUCUUCGAGACAAACUUUUCCUCGAGAAAGGACCUGAUUCAAGAAACAAUCCCUAUUGCUUUCGGAUCUGAAUUAGGAGGUAUACCCAACUGUUUUGGGUGUCCUAUGAAGAUGCACUUUGUCCGCUUUGGAUUCGAGCUUAUCAACCUGAAACUUUUUCACAUAAGCGUCACAGCCCCAAACUUUUAAGAAACGACAACUUAGGUUUCUCCAAACCAUAAUUCAAACAGUGUCGUCUCAACGGAAUUACAUGGUGCCCUAUUUAAAGUGAAUAUGGUUGUCUCUAAUGCCUAACCCAUAAACAAUAGUGGUAAUUCGAUAAGAGACAUCAUGGUACGCACCAUAUCCAAUAGGGUGCAACUAUGAUGUUCGUGCACACCAUCACACUAUGGUGUUCCAGGCGGUAUUAAUUGUGAAACAAUUUCCACAAUGUCUUAAUUGCGUGCCAAAGCUCGUAACUCAGAUACUCAUCUCUAUGAUCAUAUCAUAGACAUUUUAUCCUCUUAUCACGAUGAUCUUCAACUUCACUCUGAAAUUACUUGAACCAUUCAAUAAUUCAGACUUGUGUUUUAUCAAGUAAAUAUACUCAGUAUCUACUCAAAUCAUCCGUGAAGUAAGAACAUAACGAUAUUCACUGCAUGCCUCAGCACUCAUUGGACUGCACACAUCAAAAUGUGUUGCUUCCAACAAGUUGCUAUCUUGUUCCAUUUUACUGAAAAUGAGGCUUUCAGUCAUCUUGCCCAUGUGGUAUAAUUUGCAUAUCUCAAGUGAUCCAAAAUCAAGUGAGUCCAAACGAUCCAUCUGCAUGGAGUUUCUUCAUGCGUAUACACCAAUAGACAUGGUUCGCAUGUCUCAAACUUUUCAAAAACGAGUGAGUCCAAAGAUCCAUCAACAUGGAGCUUCUUCAUGCGUUUUAUACCAAUAUGACUUACAUGGCAGUGCCACAAGUAAGCGGUACUAUCAUUACUAUCUUAUAUCUUUUGGCAUGAAAAUGUGUAUCACUACGAUCGAGAUUCAGUAAACCAUUCCUUUAGGUGCAAGACCACUGAAGGUAUUAUUCACAUAAAUAGAGUAACCAUUAUUCUCCUUAAAUGAAUAACCGUAUUGCAACAGACAUAAUCCAAUCAUGUCUAUGCUCAACGCAAACACCAAAUGACAAUUAUUCAGGUUUAAUACUAAUCUUGAUGGUAGAGGGAGCGUGCGAUGUUUGAUCACAUCAAUCUUGGAAACACUUCCAACACAUAUCGUCAACUCACCUUUAGCUAGUCUCCGUUUAUUCCGUAGCUCUUUUAUUUCGAGUUGCUAACACUUAGCAACCAAACCGGUAUCUUAAUACCCUGGUGCUACUAGGAGUACUAGUAAAGUACACAUUAACAUAAUGUAUAUCCAAUAUACUUCUAUCGACCUUGCCAGCCUUCUCAUCUACCAAGUAUCUAGGGUAAUUCCGCUCUAGUGACUGUUCCCCUCAUCAAAGAAGCACUUAGUCUCGGGUUUGGGUUCAACCUUGGGUUUCUUCACUGGAGCGGCAGCUGAUUUGUCGUUUCAUGAAGUAUCCCUUCUUGCCCUUGCCCUUCUUGAAACUAGUGGUUUCACCAACCAUCAACAAUUGAUGCUCCUUCUUGAUUUCUACUUUCGCGGUGUCAAACAUCGCGAAUACCUCAAGGAUCAUCAUAUCUAUCCCUGAUAUGUUAUAGUUCAUCACGAAGCUCUAGCAGCUUGGUGGCAAUGACAUUAGAGAAACAUCACUAUCUCAUCUGGAAGAUAACUCCCACUCGAUUCAAGUGAUUGUUGCACUCAGACAAUCUGAGCACAAGCUCAACGAUUGAGCUUUUCUCCCUUAGUUUGGAGGCUAAGAAAAUCGUCGGAGGUCUUAUACCUCUUGACGUGGGCACGAGCCUGAAAUCCCAAUUUCAGCCCUCGAAACAUCUCAUAUGUUCCGCGACAUUUCGAAAAAACGUCUUUGGUGCCUCAACUCUAAACCGUUUAACUGAACUAUCACGUAGUUAUCAAAACGUGUAUGUCCUAUGUUCGCAACAUCCACAAACGACGUUUGGGGUUCAGCACACUGAGCGGUGCAUUAAGGACGUAAGCUUUCUACUGUCUGCAUAAUCGCUACUGUCAACUUUCAACUAUAUUUUCUCUAGGAACAUAUCUAAACAUUGGAACUAAAGCGCGAGCUUACGACAUAACUUGCAAAGAUCUUUUGACUAUGUUCAGGAUAAUUAAGUUCAUCUUAUGAACUCCCACUCAGAUAGACAUCCCUCUAGUCAUCUAAGUGAUUACAUGAUCCGAGUCAACUAGGCCGUGUCCGAUCAUCACGUGAGACGGACUAGUCAUCAUCGGUGAACAUCUUCAUGUUGAUCGUAUCUACUAUACGACUCAUGCUCGACCUUUCGGUCUCUGUGUUCCGAGGCCAUGUCUGUACAUGCUAGGCUCGUCAAGUUAACCCUAAGUGUUUCGCGUGUGUAAAUCUGUCUUACACCCGUUGUAUGUGAACGUAAGAAUCCAUCACACCCGAUCAUCACGUGGUGCUUAGAAGCGACGAACUUUAGCAACGGUGCACAGUUAGGGGAGAACACUUCUUGAAAUUGUUGUAAGGGAUCAUCUUAUUUACUACCGUCGUUCUAAGUAAACAAGAUGCAUAAACAUAAUAAACAUCACAUGCAAUUAUAUAGUAGUGACAUGAUAUGGCCAAUAUCAUAUAGCUCCAUUGAUCUCCAUCUUCGGGGCUCCAUGAUCAUCAUCGUCACCGGCAUGACACCAUGAUCUCCAUCAUCAUGAUCUCCAUCAUCGUGUCUCCAUGAAGUUGUCUCGCCAACUUUUUACUUCUACUACUAUGGCUACCGGUUAGCAAUAAAGUAAAGUAAUUACAUGGCGUUGUUCAAUGACACGCAGGUCAUACAAUAAAUAAAGACAACUCCUAUGGCUCCUGCCGGUUGUCAUACUCAUCGACAUGCAAGUCGUGAUUCCUAUUACAAGAACAUGAUCAAUCUUAUACAUCACAUAUCAUUCAUCACAUUCUUCUUGGCCAUAUCACAUCACAUAGCAUACCCUGCAAAAACAAGUUAGACGUCCUCUAAUUGUUGUUUGCAUGUUUUACGUGGCUGCUAUGGGUUUCUAGCAAGAACAUUUCUUACCUACGCAAAACCACAACGUGAUAUGUCAAUUGCUAUUUACCCUUCAUAAGGACCCUUUUCAUCGAAUCCGAUCCGACUAAAGUGGGAGAGACUGGCACCCGCUAGCCACCUUAUGCAACAAGUGCAUGUCAGUCGGUGGAACCUGUCUCACAUAAGUGUACGUGUAAGGUCGGUCCGGGAUGCUUCAUCCCACAAUGCCGUCGAAACAAGAUUGGACUAGUAACGGUAAGCAUAUUGAACAAAAUCAACACCCACAACUACUUUGUGUUCUACUCGUGCAAAGAAUCUACGCAAUAGACCUAGCUCAUGAUGCCACUGUUGGGGAACGUAGCAUAAAUUCAAAAUUUUCCUACGUGUCACCAAGAUCUAUCUAUGGAGAAACCAGCAACGAGGGGAAGGAGAGUGCAUCUACAUACCCUUGUAGAUCGCUAAGCGGAAGCGUUCAAGAGAACGGGGUUGAAGGAGUCGUACUCGUCGUGAUCCAAAUCACCGGAGAUCCUAGUGCCGAACGGACGGCACCUCCGCGUUCAACACACGUACAACCCGGUAACGUCUCCCAUGCCUUGAUCCAGCAAGGAGAGAGGGAGAGGUUGAGGAAGACUCCAUCCAGCAGCAGCACAACGGCGUGGUGGUGAUGGAGGAGCGUGGCAAUCCUGCAGGUCUUUGCCAAGCACCACGGGAGAGGAGGAGUAAGAGAGGUAGGGCUGCGCCAAUAGAGGGAGAAACUCAUAUCUUGGGCAGCCCCCAAGCCUCAAGUAUUUAUAGGGGGAGGGGAGGGGGCUGCGCCCCCUCUAGGGUUCCCUCCCCAAGGGUGGCGGCAGCCCCCAGAUGCCAUCUGGGUGGCGGCCAGAGGGGGAGAGAGGGGAGGCGCGCCUGGGGUGGGCCUUAGGGCCCAUCUGCCCUAGGGUUUGCCCCCUCCCACUCUCCCUUGCGCCUUGGGCCCCUUGUGGGGGGCGCACCAGCCCACCUGGGGCUGGUUCCCUCCCACACUUGGCCCAUGCAGCCCUCCGGGGUUGGUGGCCCCACUUGGUGGACCCCCGGGACCCUCCCGGUGGUCCCGGUACGUUACCGGAAAAACCCGAAACUUUUCCGGUGACCAAAACAGGACUUCCCAUAUAUAAAUCUUUACCUCCGGACCAUUCCGGAACUCCUCGUGACGUUCAGGAUCUCAUCCGGGACUCCGAACAACAUUCAGUAACCACAUACAAACUUCCUUUAUAACCCUAGCGUCAUCGAACCUUAAGUGUGUGGACCCUACGGGUUCGGGAACCAUGCAGACAUGACCGAGACAUUAUCCGGUCAAUAACCAACAGCAGGAUCUGGAUACCCAUGUUGGCUCCCACAUGUUCCACGAUGAUCUCAUCGGAUGAACCACGAUGUCAAGGACUCAAUCGAGCCCGUAUACAAUUCCCUUUGUCUAGCGGUAUUGUACUUGCCCGAGAUUCGAUCGUCGGUAUACCGAUACCUUGUUCAAUCUCGUUACUGGCAAGUCUCUUUACUCGUUCCGUAACACAUCAUCCCGUGAUCAACCCCUUGAUCACAUUGUGCACAUUAUGAUGAUGUCCUACCGAGUGGGCCUAGAGAUACCUCUCCGUUUACACGGAGUGACAAAUCCCAGUCUCGAUUCGUACCAACCCAACAGACACUUUCGGAGAUACCUGUAGUGCACCUUUAUAGCCACCCAGUUACGUUGUGACGUUUGGUACACCCAAAGCAUUCCUACAGUAUCCGAGAGUUGCACAAUCUCAUGGUCUAAGGAAAUGAUACUUGACAUUAAAAAAGCUUUAGCAUACGAACUACGAUCUUUGUGCUAGGCUUAGGAUUGGGUCUUGUCCAUCACAUCAUUCUGCUAAUGAUGUGAUCCCGUUAUCAACGACAUCAAAUGUCCAUGGUUAGGAAACCGUAACCAUCUAUUGAUCAACGAGCUAGUCAACAGAGGCUUACUAGGGACAUGAUGUUGUCUAUUUAUCCACACAUGUAUCUGAGUUUCCUUUCAAUACAAUUAUAGCAUGGAUAAUAAACGAUUAUCAUGAACAAGGAAAUAUGAUAAUAACUAAUUUAUUAUUGCCUCUAGGGCAUAUUUCCAACAUCCCCGACAACUGUGACGCCCCCGAUUUAAUCGUACACUAAUCAUGCACGCAAAUGUGUACAAUCAAGAUCAGGGACUCACGGGGGGAUAUCACAACACAACUCUAAAACAUAAAUAAGUCAUACAAGCAUCAUAAUACAAGCCAGGGGCCUCGAGGGCUCGAAUACAAGUGCUCGAUCAUAGACGAGUCAGCAGAAGCAACAAUAUCUGAGAACAGACAUAAGUAAACAAGUAGCCAUAGAUGACUAACACAAACUAGGACACAAAUCGAAAGAGGCGCAGGCCUCCUGCCUGGGAUCCUCCUAACUACUCCUGGUCGUCGUCAGCGGCCUGCACGUAGUAGUAGGCACUUCCAGUGUAGUAGGAAUCAUCGUCGACGAUGGCGUCUGGCUCCUGGACUCCAGCAUCUGGUUGCGACAUCCGGAAAGAAAGGAAAGGGGGGAAAAGGGGGGAGAAAGCAACCAUGAGUACUCAUCCAAAGUACUCGCAAGCAAGGAGCUACACUACAUAUGCAUGGGUAUAUGUGUAAAGGGCCAUAUCGGUGGACUGAACUGUAGAAUGCCAGAAAAAAGGGGGAUAGCUAAUCCUGUCGAAGACUACGCUUCUGGCAGCCUCCGUCUUGCAGCAUGUAGAAGAGAGUAGAUUGAAGUCCUCCAAGUAGCAUCUCCAAGUAGCAUCUGCAGUCGCAUCUCCAGUCGCAUCGCAUAGCAUAAUCCUACCCAGCGAUCCUCUCCUCAUAUCCCUGAGGGAGAGCGACCACCGGUUGUAUCUGGCACUUGGAAGGGUGUGUUUUAUUAAGUAUCCGGUUCUAGUUGUCAUAAGGUCAAGGUACAACUCCAAGUCGUCCUGUUACCGAAGAUCACGGCUAUUCGAAUAGAUUAACUUCCCUGCAGGGGUGCACCAACUUACCCAACACGCUUGAUCCCAUUUGGCCGGACACACUUUCCUGGGUCAUGCCCGGCCGCGGAAGAUCAACACGUCGCAGCCCCACCUAGGCACAACAGAGAGGCCAGCACGCCGGUCUAAACCUAAGCGCACAGGGGUCUGGGCCCAUCGCCCAUAGCACACCUGCACGUUGCGUACGCGGCCGAAAGCAGAACUAGCCCCCUUAAUACAAGAGCAGGCUUACGUUCCAAUCCGGCGCGCUCCACUCAGUCGCUGGCGUCACGAAGGCUUCGGCUGGUACCACGACGCCGGGAUACCCAUAACUACUCCCACGUAGAUGGUUAGUGCGUAUAGGCUCGUAGCCAACUCAGAUCAAAUACCAAGAUCUCGUUAAGCGUGUUAAGUACCCGCAAACGCCGAACAGGGCCAGGCCCACCUCUCUCCUAGGCGGUCUCAACCUGCCCUGUCGCUCCGCCACAAAGAUCCACUCGCGGGUGCUCCACCAGCCGACCCGACUUUAGUCUCCACAUGUAUCAUGUAUAAGGUAUAUAGUAUAUACCCGUGAUCACCUCCCGAGUGAUCACGGCCCGAUAAUAUAGCACGGCUGAUGGACAAGAAUGUAGGGCCACAGAUGAAUAUACUAGCAUCCUAUACUAAGCAUAUAGGAUUGCAGGUAAAGGUAACAACAGUAGUAUCAAGGACAGGCUAUCCAUCAGGAUAGGUAUAACAGAAAGCAGUAACAUGCUACACUACUCUAAUGCAAGCAGUAUAGAGUAGAAUAGGCGAUAUCUGGUGAUCAAGGGGGGGGGCUUGCCUGGUUGCUCUGGCAAGAGAGAGGGGUCGUCAACACCGUAGUCGUACUGGGUAGCAGCGGCGUCGGUCUCGAUGUCUAGCGAGAGAAGAGGGGGAAGAAACAAUAAAUAUAAUGCAAACAAAUGCAUGACGAUGCAUGACAUGACGAAGCGUGAUGUUAGGUGUACCCUAACGCGGUACGAGGUGGUACCGGUGAAGGGGGAAUCAUCCGGGAAAGUAUUCCCGGUGUUUCGCAUUUUCGGACAGAGGAGCCGGAGGGGGAAAGUUGCGAGUUCGAUAGGUUAGGGGGUGUGGCGGACGAACGGGUUGCGUAUCCGGAUUCGUCUCGUCGUUCUGAGCAACUUUCAUGUUGAAAAUAAUUUAAUCCGAGUUACAGAUUAAAGGAUAUGAUUUUCUAAAGAUUUUAUUAAUUUCUAGAAUCUAAUUAAUUAUUUAAUUUAAUUCAAAAUUUGGUUUUAUGACAUUAGCAUGAUAUCAUGCUGAUGUCAGCAGUCAACAGAGUUGACUGGUCAACCUGACCAGUGGGUCCCACUGGUCAGUGACACAUUUUAAUUAGACAUAUUAAUUAACCUAAUUAGUAUUAAUUAGGGGGUGGGCCCCACUGUCAUUGACUGAUUAACUAAAACAGAUUAACUAGUUUAAUUGGUAAUUAGGUUAAUCUAAUCAGAAUUAGUUAAGUUAAUUAAUUAACUGAUUAAUUAAUAUUUUAUUAUUUUCUUUUAAUCUUUCUUUUUGAAACGUUCUGGGGCUGGGCCCCGUUUGGCAGUGGCCCAGAGGGGCGAUGCGGUUUACAGGCGCUAGCGGGCGCCGGGUCUCGGGCGUCGCCCGAGCGAGGGGGGAAGCGAGGCAAGGCCAGUGGCAAACGCCGGCGAGGAGCGUGGCGCAGGGAGCGGCCAGACAGGGAGGGGUAAGGCGAAGGCCAUGGCAGAGCUGGGCGGUCGUGGCGAGGCACCGGCCGUGGCCGCGAGCGGUGAAGGCGCGGGUCGCGGCAGAGGCAAGGCCACGGCGGGGCCGGGAAGCAGCGGGCGGGCGCUGGCUGCACGGGGUGUGGGCGAGGCACAGUCGUGACCCUGGGCCAGCAUGCGGUAGGAGCCGCGGUACGAGGCAAGUGGCGCGGGCGGAGCACGGCCACGGUGGCCUUGGGCGCAGGAAGGUGGUGUGGAGCGGCGAGCACGACGAGUGUGGCACAGCCGGGUGGCCGCGGACGCGCAGCGACGGGCGUGGCGAGAAAGGGCGAUGGUGGCGGACGGGUGUGGUGCGAGGAACGAGAUAGAGACGGGGGAAAGCGGGGAUCGAGGGCGCGCUCACCGGGCCCUAUAGGCGUGCAACAGCGUGCUCGGGGAGGGCUCGACGGUGGCAUGCGCCGGCGAUGCGGACGGCGUCCUCGGGCGCGAGUAGAUCCGUCGAGGGAGAAGGAAAGGGGAGCGCGAGAUGGCGGAGCUUUCAAGGGCGACGUCAGAGCCGGGAGGUGGUCCCGGGCGGCGGCGAGCGUUGGGCGUCGGGGUCGGCGGGAUCGGGGCCNNNNNNNNNNNNNNNNNNNNNNNNNNNNNNNNNNNNNNNNNNNNNNNNNNNNNNNNNNNNNNNNNNNNNNNNNNNNNNNNNNNNNNNNNNNNNNNNNNNNNNNNNNNNNNNNNNNNNNNNNNNNNNNNNNNNNNNNNNNNNNNNNNNNNNNNNNNNNNNNNNNNNNNNNNNNNNNNNNNNNNNNNNNNNNNNNNNNNNNNNNNNNNNNNNNNNNNNNNNNNNNNNNNNNNNNNNNNNNNNNNNNNNNNNNNNNNNNNNNNNNNNNNNNNNNNNNNNNNNNNNNNNNNNNNGGGGGGGGAAGUGGGGUGCGGUUAGGGUUUCGGUCGUGCUGACCGGGGGGUUGUAGGCUGGGGCGCUGGGUGGGCCGGCCCAUUCGGACGGCUGGGGCCAGCUGGGCCACUUGGCCCAGCGGAACAGGGGGGGUUCUGUUUUCCCCCCUCUUUUUUUUGUUUGUUUGUUUGUUUUGUUUUACUUUUUUUUAAUUUUAUUUCCUAAUUUGUUUUUAGUUUGGUAAAAUAUCCAAUUAGCACCUAACAUAGUAACAUUAAUUAUACCACUGCCACAACAACUUUGGCACCUAGCUAAAUAGCUUAGUAUUUUGUAAAAUAUAUUAGGAGUAUAACUAAUUGUUUUUGCUGUUGUUUUAAUCACCUUAGGGUAUUUAAUUAUUUUAUAAAGAUGUUGUUUCUCCACCAAUAAUAUCCAUGAUUUAUUUGUCACAUUAAGGACAUUUUAGUUUUGACUUUCGAUAACUUUAAUUGUUUGACUUGACUUUAAAUUUGAAAUUGAACGAGAUUUGAAUCAUCGCAAGAUUAACAACAGUAAUCGUGGUGACGUGGCAUCAUUAGCAGAGGUUUACUGUAGCGUAACUAUCCGGGCGUCACAAUUCUCCUCCACUACAAGAAAUCUUGUCCCGAGAUUUAAGAGGUGGAAUAAGGGGGAAAGGUUCGGUUACGAAAUCCUAACGAAUCUUCUUGGUCUUGGAUGCUCUUCACAAAGAGGUCGAUCCAUUAUGUUGAUGUCUUCAUUCCUCUGCUUCACGGCAUCAUGAUGAAGUCGUCAUCCUUUCUUCAGGAUCUCCAUCGUACUUACGAAUAGGUAAGGGGCAGCUCGGCUACGACAUAAUGCUUAUGAGGGAAACAAUCUGGGGUUAACCCAUGAAUGAGCAUAAGAUUAUCUCUCGAGUUGAACAUAUAAAAUACAUUGAGAGUAAGGUACGAAGGUACAAUAAGAGGUUCCAAGCGGAUAGGUGGUUGCUCGAAGUCCGAACCAGAGUGAGAAAGGGGUUCAGAGUAGCGACAGUAAAUAUUGCGUCUGAUACCAUAAUAGAGCACUAGGAAGGUGGCCCAUGAAUUAAAUACGAAGCCAAGCGUGGGGAAUAACCACUAGAAACAGGGUUGUAUAGGAGAGUCAGGUUUCGAUCCAGUGGACCUGUGGGUUAUGGGCCCACCAUGUGGGUUAGAAGUAGGAAGGGCGGAGACGUCUUGCAUGAUCAUGCAAGCAAGGCAUGUCAGGGGGGUAGCCUGUCGAUUAUGUCGGCGACAACGUCGAUACCAAGGGCGAGGGAUGAAGAGAACUAUUUUCCUGCUCGUUGAACGAGGCGGGCCAAGAGGCAAAGUUCUCAUCCAUCGGCGGUUACCGAAAUGCCAUCAACAAUAGAAACAGGGUCUCACUGUCAGAGUUGUACACUGAGGUGUUUACCUACGCAGUGAAUUAUUACUGCUUAGAUUAUAUAGAUCACAAGAAAGGUUAAAACAAACAACGGAAAGGAAAUAUGGUUAUCAAAUUACACAGAACAAAGACAAGGAAAAUGUGUUUAAUCACAUAUUUCAGGGGUAUAACCUUCCCAAGGACAAGCAGAGCAUGAUAUCCAUGACAGGAUAUAAUGUAGAAAACUCUCUUUAGGUAGGGGGAGAAAAAUUUCAUGACAUUACCCAUACCACGGUGUUUGGAUAAUUGAUAAAGAGAAUUUAGCAUUGUGCUUCGAAUGUUCUUGGUGAUGAAUGGAGUACCACAGACAUGCUUCAGGUAGCAAUGAUAUGGUGUUUCAAUCAAGGGCCAGACUUUGGAUAUAGGAAGGUUCCAUCAGGAACAUCUUAUUACAAUGUCCUUAUGGAAGAAUGGCUAACCUUACUGAAAGGAGGGAGUAUUAUAACAAUGGGUUCCCCAGCCAGGUGUGCUAGGCAUGACAUCAUCUUACCAUGUCCUGUAAAGACCAAUGUUAUAACUCUUGGAAAUAUGUCCCAAUCACCAUAUCUGACCGAGAUUUAGAUCCGAUUGGUGCCAGGAUGCCUCGGACUCAGGAUGCCUGAGAAGAAAGGUGCAACACAAAUUGUCGAGAUGACAUUGUAAGAUUCUCGGGAAUUAUAAUAUGGAAUCGAGUUCCGAAACAAGAGUUCGUCAUUAAACCAAGGAGAGGAAGAGGAGGUGGCUGAUGGACUCGGCGAAAAUUCAUCCAGAUUUGCAAAUAGGUGGAUUUCCACAAUUAUGGAGAUAACAUUUGUCAGAUGAAAUGAUAUAAGGGGAUAUGCUCAAGGAAAACAUACCCAAUUUAAACAUUGGUUGAAAGGUGCACCCGAAAUAUGGGUUGGGUUGCACGACCAAUGUCAGAAUGGUGAUUUAAUAAUCAAUAGUCUAAGAAUGAACAGGCGACCAUUAACUUCAAAGCAACAGGGUUGCUAGAAGUGCAGGAUCCAAACAGCACCGUUCACUUGUUGGUACCCCGGUUGGAAUCCACACGAGGACCAUGAAAGAAUGGUGAUGGUGAGAAGUAUCACUAUACCAAGAAUUCUUAAGAGGUGGUGAAAUUCCCACGACAUUCUUGACAUAAAAGGCGGUAAUUCUCCAAGGUAAAGAAGAACAAUGCUGGGUAGCAAGGAACUCAAGGUAUAACACAAAACACUAACAAGUUUGUGUUGAACGGAAGGCAAUAAAGUGGUCAAAGAUGACACAAUUCAUCGGGGCAAGGAUGGUAUUUCUCAUCAUGAACUCAAUUGAUAUCCUGGAAGAGCUCAUAAGGUUGAUGAUAAUCACGACACAUUUGUCGAUAGAUUUCAUGAAGAUGUAAUCAAUCAGCGACGACAUCAAGUCAAAGGAAUGAUGAAGCAAAAGGUUAUUGAAACCAUGGGUACGACACAAACUCGAAAUCAAGUUUGUUGGUCAAGGAGAAAUGGUAUGACAAGGAAGAUCGACGUAAGCUUAGCUCAUCGUCGAAACUGGUGCUCCCGGAAUAAGGACCAGGUAGCACAGUUAAAAUCUGCACGACAAGGAUAUAGCCAAACAGGCUAGGAAUGGCGUGAUCGGUUACAAACUCGUACUUAAAGAAGAUUAUCAAGUGUCGUUGAACCGUAAUGCAGACUCGGUUCAGUUAUCGAUGUCUUUGAGUGUUUAAUAACUCCGAGCCCUAAUCGGUGAGUAUGUAGUACUUGAUGAAGAACUCAUAAGAAAUUAUGCAGUUCCAAGAUAAUCUCAAGAUACCAGGUUGUAAUACUCGACGACAGAUCAAAGUAGAGGUUGGACUGGGGUAUUGCUCUAUAGAAGACAAGUGCUUAAACUUGCAUAGGGAAUGGUAUUUAAAGGAGAACAUGGUCGGAACCACGAUUGCAAAAGGCCAGAUCCCAGAUAUAAGAUGAACUUAUACCAAAGGAAUAAUUAAUUUAAGAGAAGCUUUAAUGAUAAGGUCUACAUCGUGCCCAUGGGCAUGAACACAAAGUUCAAGGUCAACUCCCACUUCUCCAAUGGAUAAUAUUUCAUUCACUUCUCACUUUCGAAGAAGUUGUAGUGUUGAAAUUUUAUCUGGCAAAAUACCAGAAGUGUAUGACUCGUGAAAACUUUCGAGUUCACACAUACUAAGGAAGGCAUAGGUUCAACCCAUCGGGGCAUCUUAGAAUCAUAUUCUAGAAUCUUUAGAAAUAAUUAACUCAAGCUCGAAGGCAGAGCAUGGUUGAGAAAGCAGAGGAUACAAUUUACCAAAGGCAUUAUGUAUCAGAGGAAAAGCUCACAAGGUUAUUGAAUAUGAAGGGCGUUGUCAGAUAAAAUCCAACAAAGGAUCUGGUGGUCCACAAGGGAUCUGACGUGAGCAUCGGUACUCAACUAGAGGAAGAAGAAUGCAAGGAGAUCAAAUUAUAGAAACAACUGGCUAACUCAAUUGUCAAAUGCAAAGGAAUUAUGAUUUCCAAAUCAAGGGAUCAUUAGCAAUGCUCUGAUUAGGGAUGGAUAAGUUGAAUAGCCUUAGGGUACAAUCAACGACAAUUGGAUUGGUCGAGAACCAAUUCGAGUUAAAAGAAUGGCAGCUCAGCCGGAAAGGUAAUUUAUAAGGAUCAAUGAUGAUUGCGGGUAUUCACAAACAUAUUGAGUCAACAGACUCAAAAUGAUAAUGACAAGGAAUGUCAAUAUGACUACGGGACUUAUGGGAUUAAUCAUAAUGCAAGCAAGCAAGAAUUUCAAGAGCCAAAGGCCCCAAAGGAUUUUCGGAAGAUCGAAUAUUAUUUUGAAGACUUUUGUGAAACACAUGAACAACUGGGGAUGAGCGGAUACUCGACAAGUGCGAGGAUUUAUUUGAAGGGUAUUCAUGUGGUAAAGAACUGCUAGGCAGUAGGCACAAAGUAUUCUCGGAACAAUAGAGAAAACUUCGGGGUAUCUUGUAAUAACAAGAUUAACUGGGAAUAAAAGUAAGAACGACAGGCGUAAGUAUUUAUCCAUAGGGAUGUUUCAGUGGUAGGGAAUUACAAAAGCGACAAGCACAAGGUCUCGAGAGAAUAUCAGAGAGUAUCUUCAAAUUCUUCUGGUUCAUGGAGCAAUCACCUGUAGUGAGGGGUUCUCCGAGAGGAAGUAGUAACGAGAUCCUAAAGUUAGAUUUUAGUAAAAAUCGUUUAACCUGGAUAGAAAAGAGUUCAGAGUCCCAGAGUAAAAGAUCCUAGUACCACCCGAUGGCGACGUUGGCCCGUAAGGCACACAGCCAAGUUAGUAUAAGUUUUUGUAAUGUCUAGACUCGACUUCGGCCAAGGAGUGUGGAAGGGGGAUUCCUACAGGCAGUUGGCUCUGAUACCAACUUGUGACGCCCCCGAUUUAAUCGUACACUAAUCAUGCACGCAAAUGUGUACGAUCAAGAUCAGGGACUCACGGGAGGAUAUCACAACACAACUCUAAAACAUAAGUAAGUCAUACAAGCAUCAUAAUACAAGCCAGGGGCCUCGAGGGCUCGAAUACAAGUGCUCGAUCAUAGACGAGUCAGCGGAAGCAACAAUAUCUGAGAACAGACAUAAGUAAACAAGUAGCCAUAGAUGACUAACACAAACUAGGACACAAAUCGAAAGAGGCGCAGGCCUCCUGCCUGGGAUCCUCCUAACUACUCCUGGUCGUCGUCAGCGGCCUGCACGUAGUAGUAGGCACCUCCAGUGUAGUAGGAAUCAUCGUCGACGAUGGCGUCUGGCUCCUGGACUCCAGCAUCUGGUUGCGACAUCCAGAAAGAAAGGAAAGGGGGGAAAAGGGGGGAGAAAGCAACCGUGAGUACUCAUCCAAACUACUCGCAAGCAAGGAGCUACACUACAUAUGCAUGGGUAUAUGUGUAAAGGGCCAUAUCGGUGGACUGAACUGCAGAAUGCCAGAAAAAAGGGGGAUAGCUAAUCCUGUCGAAGACUACGCUUCUGGCAGCCUCCGUCUUGCAGCAUGUAGAAGAGAGUAGAUUGAAGUCCUCCAAGUAGCAUCUCCAAGUAGCAUCUGCAGUCGCAUCUCCAGUCGCAUCGCAUAGCAUAAUCCUACCCAGCAAUCCUCUCCUCAUAUCCCUGAGGGAGAGCGACCACCGGUUGUAUCUGGCACUUGGAAGGGUGUGUUUUAUUAAGUAUCCGGUUCUAGUUGUCAUAAGGUCAAGGUACAACUCCAAGUCGUCCUGUUACCGAAGAUCACGGCUAUUCGAAUAGAUUAACUUCCCUGCAGGGGUGCACCAACUUACCCAACACGCUUGAUCCCAUUUGGCCGGACACACUUUCCUGGGUCAUGCCCGGCCGCGGAAGAUCAACACGUCGCAGCCCCACCUAGGCACAACAGAGAGGCCAGCACGCCGGUCUAAACCUAAGCGCACAGGGGUCUGGGCCCAUCGCCCAUAGCACACCUGCACGUUGCGUACGCGGCCGAAAGCAGAACUAGCCCCCUUAAUACAAGAGCAGGCUUACGUUCCAAUCCGGCGCGCACCACUCAGUCGCUGGCGUCACGAAGGCUUCGGCUGAUACCACGACGCCGGGAUACCCAUAACUACUCCCACGUAGAUGGUUAGUGCGUAUAGGCUCGUAGCCAACUCAGAUCAAAUACCAAGAUCUCGUUAAGCGUGUUAAGUACCCGCGAACGCCGAACAGGGCCAGGCCCACCUCUCUCCUAGGCGGUCUCAACCUGCCCUGUCGCUCCGCCACAAAGAUCCACUCGCGGGUGCUCCACCAGCCGACCCGACUUUAGUCUCCACAUGUAUCAUGUAUAAGGUAUAUAGUAUAUACCCGUGAUCACCUCCCGAGUGAUCACGGCCCGAUAGUAUAGCACGGCUGGCGGACAAGAAUGUAGGGCCACAGAUGAAUAUACUAGCAUCCUAUACUAAGCAUAUAGGAUUGCAGGUAAAGGUAACAACAGUAGUAUCAAGGACAGGCUAUGCAUCAGGAUAGGUAUAACAGAAAGCAGUAACAUGCUACACUACUCUAAUGCAAGUAGUAUAGAGUAGAAUAGGCGAUAUCUGGUGAUCAAGGGGGGGGCUUGCCUGGUUGCUCUGGCAAGAGAGAGGGGUCGUCAACACCGUAGUCGUACUGGGUAGCAGCAGCGUCGGUCUCGAUGUCUAGCGAGAGAAGAGGGGGAAGAAACAAUAAAUAUAAUGCAAACAAAUGCAUGACGAUGCAUGACAUGACGAAGCGUGAUGUUAGGUGUACCCUAACGCGGUACGAGGUGGUACCGGUGAAGGGGGAAUCAUCCGGGAAAGUAUUCCCGGUGUUUCGCAUUUUCGGACAGAGGAGCCGGAGGGGGAAAGUUGCGAGUUCGAGUUGCGUAUCCGGAUUCGUCUCGUCGUUCUGAGCAACUUUCAUGUUGAAAAUAAUUUAAUCCGAGUUACGGAUUAAAAGAUAUGAUUUUCUAAAGAUUUUAUUAAUUUCUAGAAUCUAAUUAAUUAUUUAAUUUAAUUCAAAAUUUGGUUUUAUAACAUCAGCAUGAUAUCAUGCUGAUGUCAGCAGUCAACAGAGUUGACUGGUCAACCUGACCAGUGGGUCCCACUGGUCAGUGACACAUUUUAAUUAGACAUAUUAAUUAACCUAAUUAGUAUUAAUUAGGGGGUGGGCCCCACUGUCAUUGACUGAUUAACUAAAACAGAUUAACUAGUUUAAUUGGUAAUUAGGUUAAUCUAAUCAGAAUUAGUUAAGUUAAUUAAUUUAAUUAAUUAAUUAACUGAUUAAUUAAUAUUUUAUUAUUUUCUUUUAAUCUUUCUUUUUGAAACGUUCUGGGGCUGGGCCCCGUUUGGCAGUGGCCCAGAGGGGCGAUGCGGUUUACAGGCGCUAGCGGGCGCCGGGUCUCGGGCGUCGCCCGAGCGAGGGGGGAAGUGAGGCAAGGCCAGUGGCAAACGCCGGCGAGGAGCGUGGCGCAGGGAGCGGCCGGACAGGGAGGGGUAAGGCGAAGGCCAUGGCAGAGCUGGGCGGUCGUGGCGAGGCACCGGCCGUGGCCGCGAGCGGUGAAGGCGCGGGUCGCGGCAGAGGCAAGGCCACGGCGGGGCCGGAAAGCAGCGGGCGGGCGCUGGCUGCAUGGGGUGUGGGCGAGGCACAGUCGUGACCCUGGGCCAGCAUGCGGUAGGAGCCGCGGUUCGGGGCAAGUGGCGCGGGCGGAGCACGGCCACGGUGGCCUUGGGCGCAGGAAGGUGGUGUGGAGCGGCGAGCACGACGAGUGUGGCACAGCCGGGUGGCCGCGGACGCGCAGCGACGGGCGUGGCGAGAAAGGGCGAUGGUGGCGGACGGGUGUGGUGCGAGGAACGAGAUAGAGACGGGGGAAAGCGGGGAUCGAGGGCGCGCUCACCGGGCCCUGUAGGCGUGCAACAGCGUGCUCGGGGAGGGCUCGACGGUGGCAUGCGCCGGCAAUGCGGACGGCGUCCUCGGGCGCGAGUAGAUCCGUCAAGGGAGAAGGAGAGGGGAGUGCGAGAUGGCGGAGCCGUCAAGGGCGACGUCAGAGCCGGCGAGGUGGUCCCGGGCGGCGGCGAGCGUUGGGCGUCGAGGUCGGCGGGAUCGGGGCCGAUCCCGAUCCAGAUUGGUGGGGGAGAAGGGAUCGUGGGGGGGGGGAAGUGGGGUGCGGUUAGGGUUUCGGUCGUGCUAACCGGGGUGUUGUAGGCUGGGGCGCUGGGUGGGCCGGCCCAUUCGGACGGCUGGGGCCAGCUGGGCCACUUGGCCCAGCGGAACAGGGGGGUUCUGUUUUCCCCCCCUCUUUUUUUUGUUUGUUUGUUUUGUUUUACUUUUUUUUUAAUUUUAUUUCCUAAUUUGUUUUUAGUUUGGUAAAAUAUCCAAUUAGCACCUAACAUAGUAACAUUAAUUAUACCACUGCCACAACAACUUUGGCACCUAGCUAAAUAGCUUAGUAUUUUGUAAAAUAUAUUAGGAGUAUAACUAAUUGUUUUUGCUGUUGUUUUAAUCACCUUAGGGUAUUUAAUUAUUUUAUAAAGAUGUUGUUUCUCCACCAAUAAUAUCCAUGAUUUAUUUGUCACAUUAAGAACAUUUUAGUUUUGACUUUCGAUAAGUUUAAUUGUUUGACUUGACUUUAAAUUUGAAAUUGAACGAGAUUUGAAUCAUCGCAAGAUUAACAACAGUAAUCGUGGUGAUGUGGCAUCAUUAGCAGAGGUUUACUGUAGCGUAACUAUCCAGGCGUCACAACAACAAUGCCAGAAAUUCUUCUGUUACUCUUGUAGGAGUUGUUGGAUUUCCCCGAAGAUGAAGGUUGAUGUAGCACAACAAAAGAAAUUAUUUCACUCAGUUAAGAACCAAAGGUUUAUCGAACUAGUAAGAGACACUACGCUAACAACGUAAACAAUAUCUGCACACAAACACAACAAUUGCUUGCACGCAACAAACGCAAGGGGGUCGUCACUCCCCUUGUUCUUGACAGUUACAAGAUUAAAAGCAGAUAUAGUGAUAGGCAAAUUAGCAAAAUUAGUAAAGAGCAAAUAGUAGGAGCUUUUGUACUAAUGGAGAAUAGACCCGAGGGCCAUAGGUUCACUAGUAGCAUCUCUCUUGAAAGCAUGUAGUGGCACGGUAGACAAAUUAUUGUUGGACAAUUGAUAGAAUAGCGCAAACUAUAACUAUGAUCAUUCAUGGCAUAAUCUCACAUAGGCAUUACAUCUUUGAUAAGUAGACAAUUAGUCCAACUACAUCUAAUACUAUUACUCCACUCCAAGACCGCUAUCCAGCAUGCAUCUCCAAGUAUUAUUUCAUAAUAAAUAAAGUAACACAAUAAGAAAGAUGACAUAAUGUAGACAUGAAGAGAUCAAUCAAUAUGACCAAACCCCGUCGUUUUACCCUUUGUGGGAACAAUACAAUACGUGCCUUCGCCUCUCCUGUCAUAGGGAAAGCUCGCCGCAAGAUUGAACCUACUACUAUGCACCACUCCCUCUCAAAACCUACUCAUCUAAUUGGUCAGAAAAGUCUCAUAGAUUGGAAAUCAUACGUAGCUACAAAAAUACACAAGAGAAAUACUUCAAGAGAAUCAAUAUGAAUUAAUGAACAAUAUGAUCAUAAGUCCACAGUUUAUCGGAUCCCAACAAACAUGUCACAACAAUUACAUUGAAUAGACCUCGGAAGAGAUCGUUGUAUUGAAGGGGAGAGAGAGAGAGAGAGAGGAGCCAUCUAGCUACUAGUAUGGACCUGUAGGUACUGAAAGAACUACUCACAGAUUAUCAUGGAGGCAACAAGGUUGAUGAAGCUGGCCUCCCCAAUGAUUCCCCCCUCUAGGAACAGGGAUUUAGAUGGGAUCACAUCGGAAUAGAGGCUUGCAGUGGCGAUAAAAUUAUUUCGGGUCUCGCUUCGAGGGUUUCUGAAUAUGUCAAAAUUUAUAGGCCAUGAAUUAGGGAAAAUGAGCUACAAGGGGCCCACAAGCCAGGGUGGCACGCACUACACCCCAGGGCACGCUCUCUGCCUUGUGGGGUCCUCGUGGGUCUUCUCGUCCUCCCCCAAAGUUUGUAGGGUCUCUUUUUGUCUAGAAAAAAUUAUCAAAAAGUUUCGUUGUGUUUGGACUUCUAUAAGUAUGGAUUUUUAAAGAAAACCGAAAAGAUGGAAAAACAGAAGCUAGCAUUGGGCACUAAAUUAUUAUGUUAGCCUAGAAAAAUAAUAUAUGAUGACAUAGAAAGCAUAAAAAAUGAUAAUAUAAUAGCAUAUAACAAUUAAAAAUUAUAUUUAUAUUUGACACGUAUCAGCAGCCCGCCUAUGCGUUUGGGGUGGAUAUGGGGGGUCCGGGUGUAGAUGCACCAACUAGUCAUGUAUGUGAGCCAUACCCUUCUAUGCCAGCUCAUUAAUAAAUUUAUGUUUAGAUUAUACAUAAUUAGCUUUCGAGUUAUGUUUGUGUGUGUGCGUGACACAAGUGCAUCAUGUUAUGUAAUCUAAAUUAUUGUGAUGGAGAUCGUGUCAUUGAGGAUAUUUCGGUAAGAAUGUUUCUCAUUACUGAUAGCAUCCAUUUUAUAAUAACAAUGCUCAUGAUAAGGAAAACAAGAUCAUCAUCAAUACAUGAGCAAGUCUUAGAGGCAUGACUAGGGAUCACAUUGGUGUUUAUAUUUCCACGCAUGUAUUUGGGUUUUUCUAUGAAUCUCAUAUCUGAGAACUAAUAUACUUAUAGAACAAAAAUAUAAACUUGAUAAUGAACAUGGAAAUAUAAUAAUAAAAAUAAUUGCCUCUAGGACAUAAUUCCGACAAUUACAGGUUUCCUUGUUUAUCAAAAUAUAUUAGGAAGUAAGUAGAAGCUUCCUUUUUAUAGCAUUUGAAUUAAAUAGAUUUAACCAAACGAAGAAGUGUGUAAAUAUUGUAUUCGUCCUUGAGAACACGUGAUAAUUUACUACCAACUAUAAGGUAUGUAUGGUAUAUAAUUAUGAGUCAUCAAUGAUUGCUUGACAUAUUGGGGGAUGUAAAGAACCCACUAAUUUUUUUCUAGCUAUAAGUACCACGAAAAAGAAACAUCUCAAACAACACAUGUACCAAAGAAACCACCAGCUAGCUUGCUUCAAAUCUUAAGUAAUGGCGCUAACAAAAGUUGCUCUCUUCCUUGCCCUCAACCUUGGUCGUUGUGCAUGGUAACCCUCCAAUGGUUCCUGCACCACCUUUGGUGCCUACCCCACCUGUUGCACCGGCACCAUCGAUUGGUGGUUCCUGCCCAAUCAACCCACUAAAGAUAACUGUCUGCAGCAAUGUGUUGUUGCUACUCAAGCUCCGGAUCAACAUGCCGGAGACCGAGCAAUGUUGCCCACUGCUUAGUGGGUUGGCUGAUCUAGAUGCCGUUGUUUGUGUUUGCACUGCCAUCAAGGCCAACCUCCUCGGCAUCAUCACCGUCGACAUUCCCGUCGACCUGGCCCUCCUACUCAACCAUUGUAACAAGACAUAUCCCUCUACUUUCACCUGCUCGCCAUGAGCCAUGAUCAACUAUACCUCUCCAAAACAUACUCAUAAUUGCCAUGCAUGUGAGGCAUACCCAUCUAUGCCAACUCAUUAAUAAAUUUAUGUUUAGAUUAUAUAUUUAGAUUUCAAGUUAUGUUUGUGUGUUUGACAUAAGUGUAUUAUGCAUGUUAUGUACUCAAAAUUAUUGAUAUGGAGCUUGUCUCAUUGAAGAUAUUCCCUACAACAUAUGAGAUCAUUAUAAAUAAUUCAAAGCGACAUCGCAGUUGGUUGUUUGAACCAUCUAUCUAUAUACGACAUAUUUAUGAAUUUUUACAACCGGUUCUAUAGUCUAUGGAAACAUCUAUGACAUUUGGAUCUUACUAUGAACCAUAUGUUGGCAGUUAUUUAUCAUCGAAGGUUUAAGAGAUUUCUUUGUUCUCGGCUAGAUGUGUUGAUUAUGUUCAUGUGGGGUC